AGAUCCCUGCAGUGUUCGUGAUGGUCCGGAGGCUCGUUUGAGCCAACGCUAUAUUCAAGAGGGCCGCGACGCUACGUGGCGUGCACGCCUCCGUGCGAGGUAGCGCAAAGCGAAGCUGGUUGCUACAAGAGCGGCUCCACCUGCUUUGUUGGCAGGUUCAUUCGACCUCCCCACACGGCAAUGCGGGGUUUUA
RNAcentral lists this non-coding RNA (193 nucleotides) under Acidobacteriota bacterium. RNAcentral's name for it is "Acidobacteria bacterium 6S RNA". It matches the Rfam family "6S / SsrS RNA". From Rfam's summary of the family: E. coli 6S RNA was the first non coding RNA to be sequenced, but its function was unknown until recently. It consists of 184 nucleotides that fold into an extended hairpin structure with a large single-stranded internal bulge. Lineage: Bacteria; Pseudomonadati; Acidobacteriota. The record is from RNAcentral.